UUCUGAGACAAGCUGUUGUUGAACAGUGUUGAAGCUAAUGAGACUUGUGUCCUGCUUAUUGUCCUCCAGUGCAUGGGCCUUUUGCAGGCAAAGUGCCCCUACACUAUGGGAAACGUAAAAGUGUUUUUCUUAAACGCAGGUGGAAGAACAAGCAGUCACAUUGUCAGUCACAUCUGACACAAAUAACAGCCAGCCAGGAUGAUUUAUGCUACUGUAUGAUGUGAGAAAUCCUACAUCUUUGGCUGUAUGUGGGGCCUACUCCAACCAAUAAGGUACAAUGGCUUUGAACGAUCUUCAGGACUUCUGGACUGAACACAGCAGAGACCCAACAUGUCUGAAGUUUCUGAGUCCCACUGUAAGGCUCACAGGACUGUUCCUCUUCCCCAGACACACUGGAGCUCACAUGCAGGUUCAUGAGGCGUCGUCUGCACAGGUAAGACCCUGUGUAAACCAGCAAGGACUUUCCUUCUGUUCCUUGCACUUUCAUUUCCAGGGGAAAUAAAGCCAGGCCCACACAGGCUGCAAGAGAAAGUGGCCUCCAACAUUGUCUCUCCUUGAUUACUGAUCUGGAUAAUCACAACCCUGUGACACACUAAAGUAUACAGGCAGCCUGGAAAAAAAAAAAAAAAAAAAGUGGUUAUCUGAAUUUGGAUUUUGAGCUUACAUUUGCUUUCCAAUAAGGACUCCUUGAGAGGCUCUAACUAGCCAGUACCUUUAUAUAGUGGUAUGCAACUCUUUUUGUUUUUCUUUAUAAAUUUGGCUUUAUUUUGGGGACUUGGUUUAUAUCAACUCCCCCCCCGCCCAAAUGGGGAAAUAAAUCUCCCUGAUUCUUCCUUGGUGUUUUCUCU
RNAcentral lists this long non-coding RNA (848 nucleotides) under Anser brachyrhynchus (Pink-footed goose). RNAcentral's name for it is "lncRNA (ENSABRG00000004521.1)". The record is from RNAcentral. Lineage: Eukaryota; Metazoa; Chordata; Aves; Anseriformes; Anatidae.